UUGAUCCCUGCGGUUUGAAAGCAUUUUGAUAUUAGUCCCUCCUUACUUCAAAUGUUAAAAAUCUAGAUACAGUUAAUGGAGUGCCACGUGACCCAAUCAAUUAAAGCCACGUGGCAUAGUAAAAAGCAUAACUUUUUUUAUUAUUACUUUUACCAUUGUCAUUUAUUUAUAUAAUUCAUAUUAUUAUUAUUAUUAUUAUUAUUAUUAUUAUUAUUAUUAAUAAACAAACGAAGAAGAACACGAAGUGUGAUUAUAGAAUCACAAAAAGGAAAAAACCUAACAUAAACAAAUAAAAAAAAGUUUUAAACCCUUUUGCAUGAAGAGAAAUUAAAAUCUAAAAAGAAAAAAAAAAUAUUAAUUUGGGUUUAAUGGCCCAACCCAUAAACAAAUAAAAACCUAACAUUAAGCCCCCACUCCCUAACCCUAGCCGCCGCAUAAUUACUUCUGUUCAAUUUUCUUUCUCUGUUGAGUUAGCAAUUUCCCUGUCAAAAUAAACAAAUUUGCUUCCACCGCUAACAAUCCUUUUCGGCCAUUCCCCGUCACCGUCCGGUCUCCUCUGAUCAUGAAACCACAACCCUUAGACUCAUAUUUUUGUUUCUCGGAUCUAUUUCUUGAUUUUUGUCACCGCCACUUUACAUAUGUUUCCCGGACACACUGUCUUCAACAAAACUCACCACAGUCGCUUCUUCAUGCAUACCACUACCACCACUUUAGUCAAGCUCACAUGCCUUCAUUCUCAGAACCCUAAUCGAAUCCCUCUCACGAAAAUCAUUCUUGAACCCUAAUCUGUAAGCUUAUUCUCGAAUCACUCUCAUGAAGCUUUAAGAACCCUAAUAUAUAAGAAGAAGAAGAAGCAUGCUUUGUUCGUGUGAGAAGAAGAAACAGAAAGGUAUUCAUCGAAAUUUUCACAGAUUCUUCAUUUGUAUUACGAUUUUCAUUCUUUUUCUAUCCUCUCAUUUUCGAUUUUCAACUUUUCCUUUCGAAGUAAACAGGGUAUUUGGAGAGAUUGAAUAGUAUGGCGAAAGUGAAACGAAGUUUAGAUUGUAAUGGUUCUAGGGUGUGAUUUUUAUUUUUGAAAAGUUUUGAUUUUUUUGAGGUUUUGGAUGUUUACACUGCAAAAAUUUUAUUUUUUGUUAUCUGGGUUGUUGCAUGUUUUGGAAAAGAGAGGAUUUUUGUUUGUUAACUUAAUUUGUUUUAUUUGUUUUAUAGAUUGUGUACUUGUGUGUUGGAAUAGAGAUUUUUGUAUGUUAAUUUUGUUUGUUUUUCUUUGUUUUAUGGAUUAUGUAUUUGAGGUGCAUGUGGAUAAUAAUGAUGGGAAGCUUGAAGAGAGUGGAGUUGAUAGAAGCUGCUUUGUUUUCACCUAAGCAGAUUUCCAACCCAGUUUUGUACAAGCUUGUUCAGAGGUAAGAAGGCAUGUGGUUUCUUGUUUGAAUGAGGCAAAGGAAAGACAAGGAUUAGAUAUGCGAGUUUCUUCUCUGGUUGAUGUGAGAUUUAGGAGGAGGGUGUAUGAGCUUAUGUCCCUUUCAAAUAAUAUGUGGAAUUUUAGAAGUAUGAGGGUGUCAAGUGAAUGAGUGGCUUCAUUGGUAGUGUAUGCUCUUCUUAAAUCCUGUUGCUCCUUCCUUCCUUUGCAGAAAAGUAAUUGUUAAUAGAUUGCACCACAAAUUAUUUGGCUCAAGAAAUCAAUGUAAACAAACAAAAACGAAAUGAAGAUUGGUCAUGUUAUGGCUGUUUAGUGGUAAAGGAAGCUGAAUGAAGGGAUGGUUGUUUAGUGCUGAAGGAAGAUGAAUGAAGAGAAGACUAUAUAUUGUUAAAAUUUUGUUCUAAUAAUACCAAAUUGUCCUUCUACUUGGUCUCCAAGAUUUGUUGUUAUUAGUAUAAAUGUGUAAUAAGAUGGGGAGGAGCGUCAAGAGACUUUUGUUCCAAUCCAAACUCUUGGCAUUACACAUAAAGACAAAAUUUGUAAGGAUAAUAAUAUAAAAUCAUUUAGAAGAA
Trifolium pratense (red clover) is the source of this 1992-nucleotide long non-coding RNA. RefSeq lists it as uncharacterized. The record is from RefSeq and is a predicted model, not a curated record. The transcript is spliced from 6 exons. NCBI's taxonomy places the organism in Eukaryota, Viridiplantae, Streptophyta, Magnoliopsida, Fabales, Fabaceae.